Molecule: ribosomal RNA, 768 nt
Filed under: Phocaeicola vulgatus
Lineage: Bacteria; Pseudomonadati; Bacteroidota; Bacteroidia; Bacteroidales; Bacteroidaceae
Description: bacterial SSU rRNA
Rfam family: Bacterial small subunit ribosomal RNA
Source: RNAcentral
AGCAUGGUCUUAGCUUGCUAAGGCCGAUGGCGACCGGCGCACGGGUGAGUAACACGUAUCCAACCUGCCGUCUACUCUUGGACAGCCUUCUGAAAGGAAGAUUAAUACAAGAUGGCAUCAUGAGUCCGCAUGUUCACAUGAUUAAAGGUAUUCCGGUAGACGAUGGGGAUGCGUUCCAUUAGAUAGUAGGCGGGGUAACGGCCCACCUAGUCUUCGAUGGAUAGGGGUUCUGAGAGGAAGGUCCCCCACAUUGGAACUGAGACACGGUCCAAACUCCUACGGGAGGCAGCAGUGAGGAAUAUUGGUCAAUGGGCGAGAGCCUGAACCAGCCAAGUAGCGUGAAGGAUGACUGCCCUAUGGGUUGUAAACUUCUUUUAUAAAGGAAUAAAGUCGGGUAUGGAUACCCGUUUGCAUGUACUUUAUGAAUAAGGAUCGGCUAACUCCGUGCCAGCAGCCGCGGUAAUACGGAGGAUCCGAGCGUUAUCCGGAUUUAUUGGGUUUAAAGGGAGCGUAGAUGGAUGUUUAAGUCAGUUGUGAAAGUUUGCGGCUCAACCGUAAAAUUGCAGUUGAUACUGGAUAUCUUGAGUGCAGUUGAGGCAGGCGGAAUUCGUGGUGUAGCGGUGAAAUGCUUAGAUAUCACGAAGAACUCCGAUUGCGAAGGCAGCCUGCUAAGCUGCAACUGACAUUGAGGCUCGAAAGUGUGGGUAUCAAACAGGAUUAGAUACCCUGGUAGUCCACACGGUAAACGAUGAAUACUCGCUGUUUGCG